Molecule: ribosomal RNA, 328 nt
Filed under: Sulfitobacter sp. HI0023
Lineage: Bacteria; Pseudomonadati; Pseudomonadota; Alphaproteobacteria; Rhodobacterales; Roseobacteraceae
Description: bacterial LSU rRNA
Rfam family: Bacterial large subunit ribosomal RNA
Source: RNAcentral
GAUCAAAUCAAGCGCGAAAAGGGCGUUUGGUGAAUGCCUUGGCAGUAAGAGGCGAUGAAAGACGUGAUACUCUGCGAUAAGCCAUGAGGAGCUGAGAAUAAGCUUUGAUCCAUGGAUUUCUGAAUGGGGCAACCCACCUGAUACUGUGUUAUUGUUGCCGCUUCGGCGGCAGUCAAUAAUGCGGUAAAACAGGUAUUUUUAACCUGAAUACAUAGGGUUAAAAAGGCAAACCCGGGGAACUGAAACAUCUAAGUACCCGGAGGAAAGGAAAUCAAUAUGAUACUCCCCUAGUAGCGGCGAGCGAACGGGGACCAGCCGAGCCAUGAGU